This 1474-nucleotide long non-coding RNA is filed under the name Nicotiana benthamiana. RNAcentral describes it as "long non-coding RNA (NBEN_LNC015669)". The record is from RNAcentral. Lineage: Eukaryota; Viridiplantae; Streptophyta; Magnoliopsida; Solanales; Solanaceae.
AGCUUAACGGAGUUAGUUGAAUCUCGAGAGAGUCUCUCGGGACUGGACUAACCACAAGUUGUGGUGAACCAGGAUAAAUUCGGUGUGUUCUUUCCUUGCUAUUUUUAUUACCGAAUUAAUUUUAUUCCUGCAUUUUUUAAUUCCGCAAUAUUUAUCAAUAUUCUCGUGCCGCACUAUUCACCCCCCCUCUAGUGACGGGCAUAAAACCUAACAAACAUUACUUGAUUAUCAAACUUCGAACACAAAUUAAACCCAGUUCAAAUCACCUCAAACACCCACAUGCAUCACAGAUUGCUUCAGCAGCUUAAAAACUUUUUAAAAGAAAAAUCACAGAAGAAGAAAUCAACGGAAUAGUAAAUUGCAGUGGUUUUCAUAUUUUUGGAAAUUGUCUCACUCAAUUCUAUAUAGACAGUAAAGUCUUGUAGUUUUUGGUAUUUUUUCUCAAUUUUCAGCCCCCUUUUUCUAUAGCAGAAGCAUGCUUUUAUAACCAUCCUACUAAGGUUAUUCCCUCCCAUAUAUAAAACCUCCAAUUUCCCCCACAUUUCUCACAUGUGACCUCCACAUCUACUAGAAAAUCUUCCCUAAAAAAAUAAGAUUUCCUUUUAUCCUAAAUCUCCAAAUUGACCCUCGAUCAAAUGCCUAAGCUAACCUCUAAUACACAGGUUAUUUACCCUCCCCAAAACCGAUCUGAACAAGGGUCAUUCUGGCCCAAACAAACAGGGUUCGAGGCCUGUUAUUGAGUCAGACUGAAGCGAGUCGAGGGCCUAAAACCCAUACCCAGCUCAUGCACAAACCAAAAUUCCCCCAUAUAUGAACAAAACAAAAUCCCAGUAGAGUCGUCAGAGCUUUCACACCUCCUGUUUCACUACACCGCGCAAGGGCGUAAAAGAGAUUUUCCAGUUAAAAGACAAUCAGAACGAGAUUUAUUUAUUAAUUAUUCAGAUUCGCCACUUGGGAGAUUAUUGGUGUCCCAAGUCACCGGUUUAAUCCCAAACCGAAGAAUAAUAUUACUCUAUUAGUAGUCCGCGAAAUAGAAAUUCGGAUAAGGAAUUCUGUUAUCCCAGCAACAGCAGUAGCAAUAAUUAGCCUCGAACUCGUACAACCCAAUAGUGAAGUUAAACUAGAAACUAACAAACAUUACUUGAUUAUCAAAAUUCGAACCCAAAUUAAACCCACUUCAAAUCACCUCAAACACCCAAAAGCAUCACAGAUUGCUUCAGCAGCCUAAAAACUUUUGAAAAGAAAAAUCACAGAAGAAGAAAUCAACGGAAUAGUAAACUGCAGUGGUUUUCAUAUUUUUGGAAAUUGUCUCACUCAAUUCUAUAUAGACAGUAAAGUCUUGUAGUUUUUGGUAUUUUUUCUCGAUUUUCAGCCCCCGUUUUCUAAAGCAGAAGCAUGCUUUUAUAACCAUCCUACUAAGGUUAUUCCCUCCCAUAUAUAAAACCUCCAAUUUCCCCCACAUUUCUCACAUGUG